This 92-nucleotide transfer RNA is filed under the name Sulfurimicrobium lacus. RNAcentral's name for it is "Selenocysteine transfer RNA". It matches the Rfam family "Selenocysteine transfer RNA". The record is from Rfam by way of RNAcentral. Lineage: Bacteria; Pseudomonadati; Pseudomonadota; Betaproteobacteria; Nitrosomonadales; Sulfuricellaceae.
GGAAGGGAAUCGUUCCCCGGUGGGACGGCCUGACUUCAAAUCAGGUUAAGCGCGCCAGCGCGCUUGGGUGGGUUCGACUCCCACUCCUUUCC